CACCUCUCAGAGUCACAUCUGGAGAGUUUCCAGUACUCUACCAGUCCCCACUACAGGAGGGAGAGGCAAGCAGAGGCAAGCCCAUUCCAUUCCUAGCUUGGGCAGUGGCUAGUGAGUGGAAGACAAUCUGCCCCAAGU
Ornithorhynchus anatinus (platypus) is the source of this 138-nucleotide small nucleolar RNA. NCBI's taxonomy places the organism in Eukaryota, Metazoa, Chordata, Mammalia, Monotremata, Ornithorhynchidae. The record is from RefSeq and is a predicted model, not a curated record.